RNAcentral lists this RNase P RNA (258 nucleotides) under Candidatus Daviesbacteria bacterium. Its description in RNAcentral is "RNase P RNA component class A". It matches the Rfam family "Bacterial RNase P class A". From Rfam's summary of the family: Ribonuclease P (RNase P) is a ubiquitous endoribonuclease, found in archaea, bacteria and eukarya as well as chloroplasts and mitochondria. Its best characterised activity is the generation of mature 5'-ends of tRNAs by cleaving the 5'-leader elements of precursor-tRNAs. Cellular RNase Ps are ribonucleoproteins. The record is from RNAcentral. Lineage: Bacteria; Candidatus Daviesiibacteriota.
CUGGGAAGAAGGAUGAUUAAUCCGCCUUUGGCGGAUAGGAAAGUCCAGACAGCACAGAGCAGGGUGGUUAGCGUAAGCUAACAGCCGUAAGGCCUAGUUAGAGCAACAGUGACGAACCGAGGUAAAGCUCGGGUGAAACGGGCAAUCCUCCCCGCUGCAAUCCUAGAACCGACAGAACUGCUCGUUCUAUUAUCGAAAUCAGGAGCGUUAGAUAAAUAUCAUCUAAAACAGAAUCUGGCUUACUAUUUUCCCAGGCAU